UACGGGAGUGGCAAGCGUUAUCCGGAAUCAUUGGGCGUAAAGCGCCUGUAGGUUGUUUACUAAGUCUGUUGUUAAAGACUAGGGCUUAACCCUAGAAAAGCAAUGGAAACUUGUAGACUAGAGUAUGGCAGGGGUAGAGGGAAUUUCUAGUGUAGCGGUGAAAUGCGUAGAUAUUAGAAAGAACACCAGUGGCGAAAGCGCUCUACUGGACCAUUACUGACACUCAGAGGCGAAAGCUAGGGUAGCAAAAGGGAUUAGAUACCCCUGUAGUCCUAGCCGUAAACGAUGGAUACUAGAUGUUGUGCUUUGUACAGUAUCGUAGCUAACGCGUUAAGUAUCCCGCCUGGGGAGUACGCUCGCAAGGGGG
RNAcentral lists this ribosomal RNA (367 nucleotides) under uncultured phototrophic eukaryote. RNAcentral describes it as "SSU rRNA". It matches the Rfam family "Bacterial small subunit ribosomal RNA", at positions 524 to 896 of the family's 1533-position model. The record is from RNAcentral.